AUGCGAAAGGCGCAGUCAGCAGUGUCGAGCGCCGCCGAUGAUGAUGAAGUGGUGCGGCUCCGCGCGCUCUGGAGAAGAUACGAGCAUCACUGCACGCGGACUAACAGCUGUCCCAGUGCAGUGCUCAGACAGGACAUCCUUCACCAAAUCGACAGACAGGAGCCACUCAAAAAGUGUCUUCUUUUAGAGAAGAGGGGGAGGACAGUUUAUCCCUUGAAAUCACUGGAGCUACUUGAUUGCAAAAUAAUUGAAGGGUCUCUGGAAAGACUGGGCAAUGCUGCAGGCAUCAGCUACCUCACCACUCUCUGCCUGGACUACACACGUGUGGAACCGGAAGGGUUGAAAGGUUUGCUGAGUGGAGGUCUGGGGGCCAGUCGAAUAUCCUCCCUGAGUUUGUGUUAUUGUGGUUUGGGUUCAUGGAGCGGAACUCUGCUAGCUUCACUCCUCACCAACAGUUCCGUGAGGGAGCUCUACCUCAAUGGCAAUGAGCUGCAGUGUGUGGGUGCCACCGAUCUGCUGAAACCUGUGGCUGAAAACAGCCAAAAACUGGCAGAGAUCCAAAACAGGACCACAUCCAUCACAGAUGAAACAGAGUUGAUCUCCCAAAGGAGCAAUACCAAAUCUUCCAGACAAAAGAAAGCAAAGAGCAAAGGGAAGAAGACAAAGAAGAAAAGAGAAAAAAACAAGAGCGAUCAUGGUGCCGCAGGAGGCCCGUGGCUAGAGAAACUGCACAUGUGUGAUAAUUCCAUUGAUGGCUCAGGAAAGGAGGAACUAAAUCAAUUCCUGGAGAUCCUUUGCAUUAUAGUUAAGUUCUCCAGUUGCCUGACCGAACUGGAUCUCAGUGAGAAUCACAUUGGAGAAGAUGGCGCAAAAGUGUUUUUAGAGGCCCUGAGAGAGAGACAAGCAACUAAACUAUCUCCAAUAAAAAUCCAGGUUUCAACACGCAUCUCCACAGAAACAUUCAGGGCCAUUUUGAAAAGUGCAAAGGAGCUUAAAUCUGGGAAAAAGAGAAGAAAGACUAAGGGAAAAAAGUAGUAGUCUGUCUGGAGGACAUUGAAGAAUAUCGCUGAAUGACACAAGAAUGUUUUUCUACACUGUUUCUCCAUGUUUUCAAUUUGUCACAACAGUUUUUUAGAAUCAUCUUUUUAUGUGGUCUUAAUUGAAUUUGCCAACAUCCUUGCAUUAAAUGUGACCGCACAGCAGACUCCCAGAUUAUGAACCACUUAUUGCGGUGCACCAGAAGGGGUUCGGGAACGGAUCUCAUUUUAUGUUGCUCCAUUGGGAGCUUGAAAUAGCAGAAGGAUGUUUGUUCUUAAGUGCUUCUUUGUUUUUCUUGUCCCUUCAAGUACAUACUUGCUAACAGAAUGUUAUAACAGUGUAAUACAUGCAAUGUUUAUAUUUUAUAAUAAUGUGAACGACAGAGUUAGCGGUUAUUCGUGUUUUUACUACCUGUUAUGGAGAGCAGACGAGAUAUGUUUUCUGGUAAAUGUGGUUUUGUCUCCACCCUGUGGCCAAAAAAUGAUAUUGCACUAUGUCGUGUUAAUUUGAAUGGAUUUACAAUCCACAAGCUGGUCGCCUGUUUUACGGUUUACUUCUGCCUUUGUAGUGGAACAUCACAAAAUAAUGUACAUCCAAACAUGAAUUUUGACUGCAGAGUUUUUCUUGUCUAGAUUGCAUAAUAAGGAAUGUCUGAUUGUCUGGCUUCAAAUGGUGCAAAAUAAUGGUGCAAAAUUAAAUACCAAACAAUAAAAUUAACAAGGGAAAUGAAUCA
Molecule: long non-coding RNA, 1771 nt
Organism: Cyprinus carpio (common carp)
Lineage: Eukaryota; Metazoa; Chordata; Actinopteri; Cypriniformes; Cyprinidae
Source: Ensembl